UAGGUAAAAUCCUCCUAACUUCCUAGCCUAUAAGCAAGGAAGAUUCCUCCUAUUUUUCCUUCCCAAUUUUCUUACGGCAGUUUCCUUCUUCUUAGAGAAGAAACGAGAAUUUUUGUCUUCACUCUUCUUCCUCGCAUUCUACGGCUCGAUGAAAAAUCCUCAAAAUUCCCCUUCUUCUCUGGGAAGUUUCACAUCUAAUUAAUGGGAUUAAUUUCCCUAUAGAAUCCACCAAACCAUCAAGAGGAUCGGACCCUCGAUAACUCGACAACCUCCAAGUUCAGCCCCAAAAGCCUUCAAGCCAAGCUCUGAGAAUCCUCCGGUUUACUCUUCCGAUCCUCUUUGUCUUCGAUUUUCUUCAAAGAGAGUUAUGUGGAUGGGGAAGGGAAACAAGAUGAAAUUGUUGAUCAGGGUUGAGGAGAACGUGAUGGAGAGGAAGAUAGAUACUAAGGCCAUGGUUUGUCGAUAUUGAAGGCAGAUAUUGAAGGCAGAUAGAGAAGAGUGGUGUUAGGAAUGUGACCUGAAAAUUGAGGGCACAAGAGAUGGCAGUGAUUCAGAAAAGAGAGGAGGAAUACAAACGAGUUUAGAGCUAAGAAGAGAUUGUGUUUUCUAUAAAUAAGAUAUUUAUGUUUUGUAAUUCAUAACAGAUUCUUAGCACUAGAUACUACUAGCCAAAUGAUGCUCUGAAAGAUUGGAAACGAUAUGAUUUUGUUUUAAUAUAUUUAUGCUUUGUGAUUUUGUUUUAA
Long non-coding RNA from Erythranthe guttata (spotted monkey flower), 743 nucleotides. RefSeq lists it as uncharacterized. The record is from RefSeq and is a predicted model, not a curated record. Lineage: Eukaryota; Viridiplantae; Streptophyta; Magnoliopsida; Lamiales; Phrymaceae.